Molecule: ribosomal RNA, 258 nt
Filed under: uncultured bacterium
Lineage: Bacteria
Description: partial 16S ribosomal RNA
Rfam family: Bacterial small subunit ribosomal RNA
Source: RNAcentral
CGCACGGGUGAGUAACACGUAUGCAACCUGGCCGUGACAGAUGGAUAACCCGGAGAAAUCCGGCCUAAUACCGCAUGUGGCCGAGGGGAGGCAUCUUCUUUCGGCCAAAGGAGGCGACUCCGGAGACGGAUGGGCAUGCGUGACAUUAGCUAGUUGGCGGGGUAACGGCCCACCAGGCGACGAUGUCUAGGGGUUCUGAGAGGAAGGUCCCCCACACUGGUACUGAGACACGGACCAGACUCCUACGGGAGGCAGCAG